RNAcentral lists this long non-coding RNA (923 nucleotides) under Homo sapiens (human). RNAcentral describes it as "HSALNT0300713". Lineage: Eukaryota; Metazoa; Chordata; Mammalia; Primates; Hominidae. The record is from RNAcentral.
AGGAGAUAGCUGGUCAAACUGGCAAAGGAUGCUUCCUUCUUAGCUGGUGUGCAAAGGGGACCACUGCAAAUACACCAUGAAGAAUUUAUUUAUUUUACCAUCAUCACACUAUUUUUGUUUGUUUGUUUUUGUUUUUGAAACAGGGUCUCACUCUUUCACUGAGGCCAGAGUGCAGUGGCACAAAGAGAGCUAACUGAAAUCUCUACUUCCUGGGCUCAAGCAAUCCUCCCACCUCAGCCUCCUGAGUUGCUGGGACCACAGGUGCAUGCCACCAUGCUGGGCUAACUUUAUUAUUUUUUGUAGAGAUGGGGGGUCUUGGACUUCUGGGCUCAAGUGAUCUGCCUCGGCCUCCCACAGUGCAGGGAUUACAGGCACGCACCACCAUGCCCAGCCUCACACCAUGUUAAUUGUUUUAUCCAUCCUCAUCCAUACCCCACUUACCAUAGCAUGUACAAAAGGACAGAAAACAUAAACUCAUGCCUGGCAGAGAGCUUCUACUCUGAAGAAACAACAACCGAAGUGUCACAGGAUGAAUCUAUGCUAUUUGGAGAGGGAGUAUACAUUUAACUUGAAGCAAUCCCUGGAAGAAAAAUUCUACUAGCAGAGAUGCUCUGAGCAGAGAGAAAGCCUGUCUAUAUAGUGAAAGAAUGAAACCAAUACAUUGAAAAAAACUGAGAAGAGAAAGAGGUAGAGACUUCAUCUGAUACAAGCAUGCUUGAAACAAGAGACACCUGUAUGAUUCCAUCUUCCCAGGAGCUAGCAGGCAGUUCUUGUUGAGUUCAAGCCAGUUGAGACCAUCAACCCUUCAACUGAGCCUGCAUGGCCCUGUUUUCAGGGAGGUGGAUUUGCGAUUUGUUCUCCUUCUCCUUGCUCAGCAGCCUGGUAAGCAAUCUCACAAAAUAAAAUCUUUUCUUUUUUGCAAA